RNAcentral lists this ribosomal RNA (497 nucleotides) under uncultured bacterium. RNAcentral's name for it is "partial 16S ribosomal RNA". It matches the Rfam family "Bacterial small subunit ribosomal RNA", at positions 28 to 507 of the family's 1533-position model. The record is from RNAcentral.
GACGAACGCUGGCGGCGUGCCUAAUACAUGCAAGUUGAGCGAUGAAGGUUGGUGCUUGUACCAAUUUGAAGAGCAGCGAACGGGUGAGUAGCGCGUGGGGAAUCUGCCUUUGAGCGGGGGACAACAUUUGGAAACGAAUGCUAAUACCGCAUAACAACUUUAAACAUAAGUUUUAAGUUUGAAAGAUGCAAUUGCAUCACUCAAAGAUGAUCCCGCGUUGUAUUAGCUAGUUGGUGAGGUAAAGGCUCACCAAGGCGAUGAUACAUAGCCGACCUGAGAGGGUGAUCGGCCACAUUGGGACUGAGACACGGCCCAAACUCCUACGGGAGGCAGCAGUAGGGAAUCUUCGGCAAUGGACGAAAGUCUGACCGAGCAACGCCGCGUGAGUGAAGAAGGUUUUCGGAUCGUAAAACUCUGUUGGUAGAGAAGAACGUUGGUGAGAGUGGAAAGCUCAUCAAGUGACGGUAACUACCCAGAAAGGGACGGCUAACUACAUG